GAUGAACGCUGGCGGCGUGCCUAAUACAUGCAAGUCGAGCGAACAGACGCGGAGCUUGCUACUCUGACGUUAGCGGCGGACGGGUGAGUAACACGUGGAUAACCUACCUAUAAGACUGGGAUAACUUCGGGACACCGGAGCUUAUACCGGAUAAUAUAUUGAACCGCAUGGUUCAAUAGUGAAAGACGGUUUUGCUGUCACUUAUAGAUGGAUCCGCGCCGCAUUAGCUAGUUGGUAAGGUAACGGCUUAGCAAGGCAACGAUGCGUAGCCGACGUGAGAGGGUGGUCGGCGACACGAGAACUGAGACACGGUCCAGACUACUACGGGAGGCAGCAGUAGGGAAUCGUCCGCAAUGGGCGAAAGCCUGACGGAGCAACGCCGCGUGAGUGAUGAAGGUCUUCGGAUCGUAAAACUCUGUUAUUAGGGAAGAACAAAUGUGUAAGUAACUAUGCACGUCUUGACGGUACCGAAUCAGAAAGCCACGGCUAACUACGUG
This 497-nucleotide ribosomal RNA is filed under the name uncultured bacterium. RNAcentral describes it as "partial 16S ribosomal RNA". It matches the Rfam family "Bacterial small subunit ribosomal RNA", at positions 28 to 507 of the family's 1533-position model. The record is from RNAcentral.